Molecule: small RNA, 52 nt
Filed under: Sinorhizobium meliloti 2011
Lineage: Bacteria; Pseudomonadati; Pseudomonadota; Alphaproteobacteria; Hyphomicrobiales; Rhizobiaceae
Description: putative ncRNA
Source: RNAcentral
CAUUGCUUGCUCCUUCGCAGCGAUCGACGAUUGACUGCGGCACGAUUAUUGC